AGCGAAAGCGAGCCUUAACAGGGCGACUUGAGUCCCGCGCCGCGGACGCGAAGCCGGGUGAGCUAUCCGUGGGCAGGCUGAAGCGGGGGUAAGACCCCGUGGAGGGCCGAACGCACGUCGGUUGAAAACGGCGGCGAUGACCUGCGGAUAGGGGUGAAAGGCCAAUCAAACCCGGAGAUAUCUCGUUCUCCCCGAAAUAGCUUUAGGGCUAGCGUCGCGCGUUCACCGCCGGAGGUAGAGCACCGGAUGGACGAGGGGGCUUCGCCGCCUACCGAAUCCAACCGAACUCCGAAUGCCGGCGGCCCAGAGCGCGGCAGUCAGAGCAUGUGGGCUAAGCUGUGUGCUCGAGAGGGAAACAGCCCGGACCGCCCGCUAAGGUCCCCAAGUUCCAGCCGAGUGGCAAAGGAUGUGCGUCCGCCCAGACAACCAGGAUGUUGGCUUAGAAGCAGCCAUGCAUUCAAAGAGUGCGUAACAGCUCACUGGUCGAGUGGACAUGCGCCGACAAUACACGGGGCUAAGCUGGACACCGAAGCGGCGGGAUUUUAUCUAUAGAAUCGGUAGGGGAGCUUCCCAUGGGCGGAGAAGCCGGAGGGCGACCGACGGUGGAGCGCAUGGGAGUGAGAAUGCUGGCAUGAGUAGCGAGAGACGAGAGAGUAACUCGUCCGCCGUGAACCCGAGGUUUCCUGGGCAAGGCUAAUCCUCCCAGGGUCAGUCGGGGGCUAAGGCGAGGCCGGGAGGCGUAGCCGACGCGCAGCAGGCAGACAUUCCUGCACCGCGCACGCGGCGCUACGACCGACGGGGCGACGGAUGGGGGUGGCUCGGCGGGGUUCUGGACGUCCCCGUGAUGGAGCGCGGCCCGCGGACCAGGGAAAUCCGGUCCGCAUCGAGGGCGAGGCUCCGGACGAAGCACUUAAGCGAAGCGAGUGAGCCCGAGGUCCCUAGAAAAACCCCUAGGCAGGCGCGUGCGCGCCCGUACCGCAAACCGACACAGGUGGGUGGGUAGAACAUACCGAGGCGAUCGGGUCAACCAUGGUCAAGGA
This 1040-nucleotide ribosomal RNA is filed under the name Collinsella sp. WCA1-178-WT-3 (M1). RNAcentral describes it as "partial 23S ribosomal RNA". It matches the Rfam family "Bacterial large subunit ribosomal RNA", at positions 670 to 1711 of the family's 2925-position model. RNAcentral also lists the same sequence under 1 other name. The record is from RNAcentral. Lineage: Bacteria; Bacillati; Actinomycetota; Coriobacteriia; Coriobacteriales; Coriobacteriaceae.